This is a long non-coding RNA of Gopherus evgoodei (Goodes thornscrub tortoise), 1096 nucleotides long. RefSeq lists it as uncharacterized. The transcript is spliced from 3 exons. The record is from RefSeq and is a predicted model, not a curated record. NCBI's taxonomy places the organism in Eukaryota, Metazoa, Chordata, Testudines, Testudinidae.
UUCACAACCCUGGGUUUAGCAGGCCAAUGCUCAAACCACUGAGCUAUCCCUCCCCCACGCUAGAACAGCAGUGCCCACACUGAUUGGUAUGAAAAACAGCAAGAAGUUGAGUGGACUUCCUAAGGGCUGUAGUCUGCCCCAAAUGAAACUCUGAGCCCCACAGACCUUCUGACACUGAGCACAUGAAGAAGGGCCUCAUGGAGAGGAACAGAAGGCAUGACAAAUGUUGGCAGGAUGACAAACUCAAUGGAGUGGAACUCUCAGACCACUGUGGGGAGGACUCUUCAAUGAUUCCACAGCAGCACCUUAAACCUGGUGUAAACUGGAUUGGUCAUGACAGCCUGAAGCUCACUCCUGCUGUGAGCUGAAAGGACUCCCAGCAAGAAAGCAACCUUCCAUGCAAGAUAAUUAAGCUCACAGGAACUGAAUGGCUCAAAAGAAACUUUCAUGAGCUUUGUCAGGGUGACAUCAUUCUCCCCUAACACGGGAGGCUGUUUAACAUGAGGUUUCAAAUGUCAAACACUGCCUCAACCUGACAACAAGGAUCUCCUAAGCCUCUAAUUGGCUUAUUUUGAGAACCUCACCUCCCAUAUCACCGUGCACUGAUCUCCUUUGAAUCAGUUCAUGACAGGCUAAAAUAGCUGCCAAAUGUACGAGGAUGGAGCUGGCCUUUAUAUCAGGAGGCAGGCAAGUAGUCUAUCCACAUGCGUCAAAGGGCAAAAAGAAAAAACAGGAGCUAACUGGGGCCGGAAUGCACCACAAACUUCCUUAAUUUGUAAUUACAGAUGGCUUCCAAGACACCAGAAGGACCUGAGCCACCUGCCUAGAUAUCCCAUGCCUGCAGAGCUCUACCCUCAGAAGUGCAGCUGCCAGUUUGGGAGAGAGAUUCCCUGCAUCACAUGUGCAAAAAAAAGUGCCAGUUCAGAACAGCAAAUUUCAGCCCAACAUGGAUAUCUACAGACAACUUUAAAACUCCAGAAAAUAAGAGACAACAGAAACUGAAGAGAGUUGAUAAUGAUUAAAGGCUUGACAAGGGGGACUUGGAGUCUGCGUGGACUUGUCGCAACUCAUAGGCGCAGGACUCCUGUCUGUGUCG